Molecule: ribosomal RNA, 253 nt
Filed under: uncultured bacterium
Lineage: Bacteria
Description: partial 16S ribosomal RNA
Rfam family: Bacterial small subunit ribosomal RNA
Source: RNAcentral
UACAGAGGUCCCAAGCGUUGUUCGGAUUCACUGGGCGUAAAGGGUGCGUAGGUGGUGAGGUAAGUCGGAUGUGAAAGCUCGGAGCUCAACUCCGAAAUGGCAUUGGAAACUACCUUGCUCGAGGGUUGGAGGGGGGACUGGAAUGCUUGGUGUAGCAGUGAAAUGCGUAGAUAUCAAGCGGAACACCAGUGGCGAAGGCGAGUCCCUGGACAACUCCUGACACUGAGGCACGAAAGCCAGGGGAGCGAACGGG